AGGGUUGAUAUUAUAGUAAAGCUAGUUACCCGUAUAUAUGGUUAACAUGAGGGUUGAUAUUAUAGUAAAGGUAUAUAUGGUUAACAUGAGGGUUGAUAUUAUAGUAAAGGUAUAUAUGGUUAACAUGAGGGUUGAUAUUAUAGUAAAGGUAUAUAUGGUUAACAUGAGGGUUGAUAUUAUAGUAAAGGUAUAUAUGGUUAACAUGAGGGUUGAUAUUAUAGUAAAGGUAUAUAUGGUUAACAUGAGGGUUGAUAUUAUAGUAAAGGUAUAUAUGGUUAACAUGAGGGUUGAUAUUAUAGUAAAGGUAUAUAUGGUUAACAUGAGGGUUGAUAUUAUAGUAAAGGUAUAUAUGGUUAACAUGAGGGUUGAUAUUAUAGUAAAGGUAUAUAUGGUUAACAUGAGGGUUGAUAUUAUAGUAAAGGUAUAUAUGGUUAACAUGAGGGUUGAUAUUAUAGUAAAGGUAUAUAUGGUUAACAUGAGGGUUGAUAUUAUAGUAAAGGUAUAUAUGGUUAACAUGAGGGUUGAUAUUAUAGUAAAGGUAUAUAUGGUUAACAUGAGGGUUGAUAUUAUAGUAAAGGUAUAUAUGGUUAACAUGAGGGUUGAUAUUAUAGUAAAGGUAUAUAUGGUUAACAUGAGGGUUGAUAUUAUAGUAAAGGUAUAUAUGGUUAACAUGAGGGUUGAUAUUAUAGUAAAGGUAUAUAUGGUUAACAUGAGGGUUGAUAUUAUAGUAAAGGUAUAUAUGGUUAACAUGAGGGUUGAUAUUAUAGUAAAGGUAUAUAUGGUUAACAUGAGGGUUGAUAUUAUAGUAAAGGUAUAUAUGGUUAACAUGAGGGUUGAUAUUAUAGUAAAGGUAUAUAUGGUUAACAUGAGGGUUGAUAUUAUAGUAAA
Long non-coding RNA from Oncorhynchus keta (chum salmon), 888 nucleotides. RefSeq lists it as uncharacterized. The transcript is spliced from 5 exons. Lineage: Eukaryota; Metazoa; Chordata; Actinopteri; Salmoniformes; Salmonidae. The record is from RefSeq and is a predicted model, not a curated record.